This 1211-nucleotide long non-coding RNA is filed under the name Homo sapiens (human). Its description in RNAcentral is "HSALNT0298910". The record is from RNAcentral. Lineage: Eukaryota; Metazoa; Chordata; Mammalia; Primates; Hominidae.
GUCACCACAGUGGUGACCCUUCUCUCUGACUCAUUUCCCAUUAUGAGCACAAUUAGCGUGCAGCAUGUGUCCUGGGAGAUUAAUGAUCCGCUGGAGGGAAGAAAGAGGAACUUGGGGAAUGGAUCUGGGUGUAGUCAGAGCUCGCCUCUCCCUGGGAGCUGCCUUGGUGCUGUAAAGGAUCUCAUGUCUUUUGCCAGCUUUGAUGAAACUUGCUAGUUGGAAAGCAGAGUGAAAUCUCAGGCUCUACAACUCUUGACAUAAAGGACUGACAUCACAGGGCAACUAAGCAACUAGAAUUCCAAAGAAGGACAAGCCCCUCCAAAGACAGGAAGCAUGAGGGCAGGCUCAUCAGUGUCAGAGCAGGGGAGACCAGCACAGACACCUUACAAGCAGAAUGACCUUCUGUGGCUACAGAGAAAGGCUUCAGGCAAAGAGAUGCAGCUCUGGGCCCCAGAGUCCGCUGGAGCACACUGAAGCUGGAGCACACUGAAGUGGAAGAUGGGGCUGCAGACAGAGACUGGGCAGCCUCUGCUCCAGGGAGGCCCGAGAGCCAGAGAGCAGAUUCCAUAAGAAGAAUAACUCCCAUUCCUCAUGCAUGAGACCCUCUGCUAAAUGCUUCCUGUGCACCACCUCCAGAAAUCCUCCCAAGCCAGGACACCAGCAGUAUUACAGGAACUGGAUGACAAAAAGAAGAGCCGAUAUAACCAGGAACCUACUCUGGCCACCCCAAGUGCUCCGCAUCAAGACUCAGCUGCAGAGAUGACUUCAGUGCAAGUCACAUACACACCAUUGGGCUGGUACCCGUGGCAGCUCUGCAGGGCUUCCAUAUUGGUCAUGGAUUUGGAUGGUGAGAAGAGCUGAGACAGACGGCACAGGUUCUCAGGAUGCUUGAGGCAGGCUGAGCUCCACGAGCAGAGACCAGGCUGAUGCAUGCUCCACAUCUUGCAUGCUUUGCUUAAAGAAUGAGCGAAAGGAGUAAAUGAAAUUGGUUCUUUCAAAGCAACAAGAACAUUUGUGACAUAUCUGCUAAGGUGGUGAGGGACAAAGAUGAAGGACUGCAGAGCUGUCUCAUAGGCUCCUUUGAGCAAAGCAUUCCUCCUCCAGGUAAAGUGACAAAUGAAUUUGCUCAGACAACACUCUGCCUCCCGUGUUUUCCCAUAAAGUCCUCUUCACUGAAACCAUUUAGCAUCGUACAUCUAUCCUACAAGAAG